This is a long non-coding RNA of Mercenaria mercenaria, 6792 nucleotides long. RefSeq lists it as uncharacterized. Lineage: Eukaryota; Metazoa; Mollusca; Bivalvia; Venerida; Veneridae. The record is from RefSeq and is a predicted model, not a curated record. The transcript is spliced from 6 exons.
UCCCAGAUAUCACAGUUGUAAUAAAAAUGUCAUCUAUCACAUAAUAAUGAUUAUAAUUUAUCACAGGAUGUUAUACUUGUUUUGAUAAUAUAGUGACUGAAACAAAAUGUAAAUGAGGUCCAUCAUAGCUGUCACAUUUAGAUCUUAAAGGCACUCGCUACAGUUUUACCGGACGGGUCGAUAUUUACCCCAACACCGUGCCAGUUUGGUUGUGUUUUUAUUCGAUGUAGCUGGCACAAGACCACAGUUAUUUGCCCUUGGUUGACCACAGUACGGAAGUGGUUAUGGGGAAAAUAGUUCCUCUGUUUGAUGGUGAACAUUGGUGAAUUUUUGAGUGAAAGACCUGCAAUAAAUGGCAUAAUUUAAUAGAGGAGAUAUGAAAUAGUAGGUACAUGUACAAUUUGACAGAAUGAGAAUGUCAGAAUAUGCAUAACAUGACUUUUUGAUAGGGCCUGUUUUGCCUGUUUGCGGCCAUCUAGAGAGUAUUCUUCAUACGCAUGUGAUUUGGUUCAAAAUGGUGGAAAAAAGAGCCGGUCAAGCCAAUGUUUACUGUGGCUGGAAUUUUUUCUCUUGAAUAGUUCUGUUGAGUUCAGGUAUUUUUAUAGGGGUUGAAAUGCAUGCAAAAUUGCUAUAGUGUCCAGUGCCUAUAUAGAACAUAUAGAUCUAGUAAAAAUAACUGUGGUCUUAGGCCAGCUCACUGCAGACUCGGUGUGGUCUUCUGCGCAUGCCUGGAAGUGUCACGUACGGCAAAAAUUUGCAAAUUAUUGUAUGUUUGCAUGCAUUAAAUGUACAAAAUGUAUAAUAUACUGACUAAAGGUUAGGGUAUCACCAUGCUUACAAAAUAUAUACAUUUAAAGUACUUUUAGUUCAAAUUGCUUCAAUCUGACAUAUAUUUCAGUAGUCUGUUAUUUAUACCAGCGCUCAAACACUGCAUUGAGUCACAGCUGUUUCUAAUCCCGUACCAUACACGUACCGUACAUUCGUAAACUAUAGGUUUUGUAAAAAAAAAAAAAAGGGCGGAAACUUUCAUCAUUCUAUGCCAUCAAAAUGCUUCAGAAACACCUUAAAAUCCGCUUAUUAAGAAAUCUGCCGUUUGAUAAUUUUAUAUAUAUAUAUCUCUAAGUCAUUUGCUCAAACACUGAAAGAGUAUUUUGUACCAACCUGCGUUGUAUAAAUGCCUGCCACACCCCAUCUCGUUGUAAUUUGAUUUAAGCAAAAUCUAAUAUGGUGACCUAUCAAUUUCCUUUUUGUUUUAGAUUAGGUAGACAUAACAAAAGGUAUGUGCAGAGUUUGAUUAAAUUCUAUGUGAAACUCGAUAAAAUAGCAGAAGUACCAACUUAAAACUGACAAAAAUAUGCAAAAAUAGCCCUUAAGUCUGCUGAACAAGUAUUCCUUUCUUUGCAAAAUCAUGUUCUUUUGAUUUCUCUGAGCAUGUUUCAAAUAGAUAUAUUGUUUUCCGUUAUAAAAAUGCUUAGAUAAUCAAAUUUAUGCUGAUUAUUGUACUUUACUGAAAGAUAUUUUAGGAUUACAGGAAUUUUGAAAAAUGUUUAAAAUAGUACCAUAUCUAGGGGCAAAUUAAAUUGAAACAAAGCUGGUGACCUAGUAUUUUUAUUUCAUUUUUCAAUACAUCAUAACAUGAUCUUUUAAUUCAGAACAUUUCAUCAAAAUCUAUUAUUGAGAAAAAAAUUACGAAAAUGUAGCGUAAGUGACUGAUUACUCUUAACAAAACUGUGUUAUUUGGUGGUAUAAAAGUGACAAUGAAAUCACAAGACAAAGAUCUUACGUUGUUAUAUCACAUAUUAUAGAGUGGUUAAUACAUUCUGUUUUAAAACAGUAUUCCGUUUUUGAAUACAAAGGUGUUAGCACGUCAUGAUCUCAUGAUUGAUGCUACAAUUUAGGUGUUUGUGUCAUUAGCAUGCAGUUAAACCCGUCUAUAAAGACCACCCUUGGGAGUGCAGAAAUUUGGUCUUUAUUGGGAGGUGGUCUUUAUUCACAGGUUAAAAUACAAUUUGGGAAACAAAACAUGUUGUCUUUAGAGAUGGUCUUUAACACAGGUUUGACAGUAUUAUAUAGGUCUUACAAAAUCAAUGACACCGUGAUACAAACAUAUGCAGAAACUAAGGGUCUAAUAACUUUCUACAAAUUGACAUGGUAACACAAAUACUAAACACUUAUUUCAUAAAAAAUACCAUAAAAAUUUGUCAAAACGACACUAGUUAAAAAUAUAUAUAUAAAGAUUCAUCUCUUUACAUCAGCUGGAAACUUAUUCCAUUCCUUAAUUGCAAUGAAUUGAUGUAAACCCAUUGACUUGUGGCAUAUAAAAAUUUAGAUGAGAUCUGCUCCUGUAAAACUGGAUAUCACUGCAUUGUGUAAAGUGUUCAUGCAUGUAACUGGCAGACUUGUUAUGGGAAAUCUUAUAGACAUGAUUGAGUCUUAGUUGUGUACACCUGUAUUCUAUAUUAAAAAAACCAAGGUCUUUAAAAUCUGCGACGCAAAGAGAUGUUCUACAAUGGUAAUUGUGAAUAAAACGAAUUACUUUGUUUUGAGCCACCUGUAGUUUACACUUCAGCAUUUUAGUAAGACCACAGUACCACAAGGUUGAUGCAUAAUCUAGAUGGCAUUGUAUCAAAGAAUUACAAAGAGUUUUUCUGAGAGAUUUCUUUUAAGGAAGUAGAUAUCAAAUUGAUGUUUUGUCUUACAGAUAGCCAUACAGAUUUGAACCAACAACCUGAUAGAAAGUUUUACCUGUUGUGUAAACAAGAUGAGCUAGCUGUGUGAAAGGUUGUCUUGCAGGAAAAGAAGGAAAAUGACUUUAGAAAAGAUGAGAUACAACAGAAUUAAAUAUAACAGAGAGUUUAAGGAACCUGUACAGCUUGUUUGUGAGAAGAUCAGGGUGAUUUUAGAUACCUUCUGAGUCAGAGUGUGCAUAUUGUUCAGCCAAGGUCUGAGUCCUAGACAAGGGUCUGAGUGGUGUGGUAUUUGCUUCAGAAUCAUCCACAUCACAGAAUCUCUCACCCAGGUGUUCCUGUUACACAAGCAUGAAGAAAAGGAGUUGCUGGAGGCCCAUUGAAACCAGAGAUUACAUCUAUUGGUGAUAAUUUGACGAAGCCAGUUGCAGAGUUUUUACAUGAGACAGUUAGGGAGAAAUUUUCAGAUUUGCAGUAUCAGACAGUAUCCUAGGAAACCCACAGACAUUCUUGAUAUAGGACCAACGCAAUCAGACAAGCUGGCAAGAUUUUACAUUCAAGAGUGGUGACAUUCUGCUGAAGAUUCAAGUCUGGAGAUACCAUUGAAUCUGUUUUUAGAUUUAAGUUUAAAAAUGACAUUGACUUACUACAUGUAUACUGCUUUAAGUCAAAUCUUUUAUCAAUUUUUGUUUUUAUCGAUAUAUUAAGAUCUGGGAAAAUAACUUUAUUGGAGAAAAAUUUGUAUGACAAAAUAAAAGAAAGAAAAAGGUUUUUAUAGUAGAAAUAUUUUUUUUAAUAGAUACUUAUGAAGUGACUUUAGCAUGUCUUUUAGAUACACAAGAUUACAAUGAUUGCUUUUUUUAAAUUUUUCAGGAAGUGCAAAAAAAACAAAAACUUCCUUAUUUGACAAGAAACAGCUUUUUUCAACCUUAAUAUAUGUUACAGCAAUUUAAAGGACUUUUAUAAAAUAUCAUUAUUUAUGUUAAGAGUUACAUGUAUCCUACCAUAUUACUUACUUACUUUCAACUGUAUUGCAUGACUUUUGUAAGUUUUAGCAGUUGGGUCAUUAUCACAAAAAUAUAGUAAGUAACUUCUAAAAUUUGACAAGCUGAUCUAUUCCAUCUGUAUUCUUGAAGUUUACUGCUUAAGAGUGAUAAUUAAAACUGUAAAUGAUGCCGGUCCAUAAUGCUGUUGGCCAGUCUAUAGUUCUGGUCCCAAUUUCACAAAAAAAACUUAAAUAAUUGUUUAGCUAAGUCUGUUAUUUCAAAUGCAUCUUCAGUGUAGAACUGUAUAUGUAUAUCUAAUAGAUCAAAACACAACAAUACUGAUUUCUACAGAAAAAGAAGUACAGAAAUAAGAAAUAUACUUAAGUUUGUUAUAUCAUGCUUAGAUAGAAAUAUCAUAUCACAACACUGAGAUAAGUACUGCAAACAAAUAAUACUAACCAUGUAUAAUUUAGCUACAAAUAUAUUGUUAUAGAAAAAUCAACAUGAAAUAACAAAAACUUAAGCAAUAGCACGAUUUUAAAAUAACAGACUUAACUAAGUACAUUUAAUUACUUAAGUUUUUUCAUGAAAUUAGGGCCAGCACUAAAGUUUGUUUGGCUAUAGUCAAAAUUUGAAAGAAAAACUAGGAAAUAUUUCUGAUGUCAUACAGUACUGUUUAAUAAAACAUUUAUUGAAUCUCAGGGUGGUCAUAAGUCAAAAUUAUUACGUGACUCCUAUGAGCCACCGGUCCAUAGUUUGUAUAACAUGUCCGGUACACAAUCACACAUGUUUUUUUACUUGGGAAUAAGUCAAACAUUUAAAAAUAAAAUGUGAACAUUUUAAUUUCUUAUGUCAUGUAAUAAAAUACUUAUUAAAUUGCUUGCUAGUUAAUAGUCAAAACUAUUAGCCCUAAGUCCUUUGGACCACUGGCAGUAGUUUCGACUAUUGACUAGCAAGUUAUUCAAUAAGUAUGUGCUAUUGACUAUUGGUCCUCUGGCAAAACUGUACAACUAUCAACCUUUAAUGGUCAAUGAUUAAAAUUAUACAGCCAAAUAAAUGACUAUAGACUGUCAUUAGAAAACUAUUGACUGAGAAAGGCAAGGGUAAUAGGAUACUGAUGAUGGUCAAUAGUCAUUUUCCAGGGUUGAAUGAUUUAAACCCAAUGACCACGUUAAAGAUAGUUGUUUUAUUAUAUUGAGCAGCAGUAAAAAGUAUUACAAGGAAAGAACACUUCAUGUUGUUCAGUGCCACAUUUAUUGAUAUGUUGCAGGUGCAUCAUUUCCAUUGUUGUUUUGGUUUCCAGGCAGAAUUUCGGUAAAAUUAUAGGUAGAAUUAAUUUAUUUUAAAUAGGUCUUAGGUGGUAGUUGCUUAGUUUGCCUGAGCACAAAAAGUUCCUGAUGAGCUAUUGUGAUCACCCUGUGUUUGUAGUCUAUCAUUGUUGCCAGUCAUUAUCAAUUUGACUAGAGGUCACAACUUUUGUCACAACUGAUAAGAAUACUACCAUUAAUAAAAUCUGGACAAGCGUCUUUUUUGGAUAGGUUAUCAAAAACUAAGUAAGUUAAAUCAUAGAAAAACCUCACUGACACUUUAGGGGCUACAUUUUUUGCUUGAUCAUUGUAAAUCUCUGUCAGAAUGUUUGUCUUUAUAACAAAAUUAAGGCUGAAUAUUAGAUCGAAAACUAGGUCAGUUUGGAAUUGAGAAAAUAUCAAUUUUAUUUCACUGAUAUAUUCCAGUAUUUCUCCGAAAAGCAUAAAAUAAUCCUGAAAUUUUUGUUUUAUAGUCCAUCAGCAAAACAAGUCCAAAUAGAUUAGGCAAUGAAAAUGCCUGGCAGACUGUAUAAAACAAGCACUGGCCAUUGAGGAGCUAAUCAUUUUCUUCCCAAAGUGACUUUUUUCUUCUUAUUUCAACUUGUCUUAAACUGCUACCAACCUUAAGCCUGAUGGAUUUGUUCCUUCAGCUGAGCCCACGAAUGAACAUUUGUUGGGUACAGAGAACAAUAGGUAACAGUAAAUUCUAUCAAAAGAAAUACCCAGUAAAGGUCCAUCUGUGGGAACGUCCGGCUGCUAAAAAGGUAUGACUGUAUAAAGGUACUUUCUAGACGUACAACCAGUCAGGAAGUUGUAUAUUCCUAUCAACACUAAUACAGUAAUUAUCAGCAAAAUUUCUUUCUAGAAAUGAUAUACAGUAUCAGUAACACAUUUAUAUUGUUAUUUUCAUCUCUUGUACAAGUGUUGAGAAAAAAACCUGUUGUCUGAAGGACGUGAACUUGUGAUCUAAGUUAAGGUCAUCUGGAGGUCAUGACAGUCACUGCGAACUUCUUUGUGGUACUGUCUGUGAUGAAGGUUUGUUGUUUAAAGAUGUAAGACAUUAAGGUGUAAUUUUAGUGACAAGGUGAGCUUUUGUGAUCACCCUUUGUCCAUCGUCAGUCCGUCCGUCAACAAUUUCUUGUCUGCGCGAUAAUGGUUUCAUUUAUGAUUUUAUUUUAACCAAACUUGCACACAACUUUUAUUAUCCCCCGACGAAAGUCGGAGGGAUAUAGUUUUGGCGUUGUCCGUCCGUCCGUCCGUCCGUCCUUCCGUCCGUCUUUCCGUCCGUCCGUCCGUCCUUCCGUCUUUCCGUCCGUCCGUCCGUCCGUCCGUCCGGAGCCAUAUCUAGGAAAUGGUUGGGAAUAUUUAUUUAAAACUUCAUAUACAUGUUCACCACAAUGAGUUCUUGCGGCCCGUCAAGUUUCAGUCAGAUUGCCCAAGUAACACCAGAGUUAUGGCCCUUAGAAGUUUCUAGUGUUAACUAUAUAGGGUACUAUAAAUAUGGCAAUUUCUGCAUCAUAACUUUUGAUAUAUUUGACCUAGAACUAUGAAACUUAAACAGAAUUUAGAUCACCAUAAUGUGGUUGUGUACACACAAUUUCAUUUGGAUUUAUUUGUAAAUUAAGAGUUAUUGCCCUUUAAUUGUAUAAAAAUCCACAUAUUUGUACAUAACAAACUUACCAUUUGGUAGAAUUUCAUUAAAUUUCUUUCAUUCUUUUCCAUGAACAUCUAUUGUAAACAUGUGAAGUUGUGUACCCACACCUGGUCACCCCCUUACCUUGAUCACACACCUCCCCCCCUAUCCCCCGACAC